UCUUAAUAUAUUGUCUUUCGAUAAAUUAUAUGAAAUAUGGACACCCAAAAAUUUCACUUCAGAUGUAGUGGGUAACAAACAAUUAUUAUAUUGCACAGCAGGUGUACUGUGACAAUGUUUACCAAAUACAAUAACUUUAGACUUGGAUGGAUUCACACUGAGAUCAAGGAAUCCCUAUUUGUAAUAACUCAAGGCAUAGAAUAUCUAUGUUUACACUAUUAAAAGCACCUGCGAUGUCAAAGAAUACACCGACCAAGUUUUCAUUUGCGGAUAUAGAGUUUUGUAUAUCCAGCUGUAACUGGCAAACGCUUUCUCUAGCAGAACGAUUUCUACGAAAACCAAAUUGAUUGGAAGGAAUAUGAUAACUAGUACCAAGAGGACAAUCAUGUACAGACCAGUCACAGUUGAGAGCCAGUGAUGAAGAUACCAAUGAUAAAUCCAAAGCAUUGGGUCGCCAUGUUGGAGAACCGAUAGUCGUUGCUUGCCCAUCAUUAAGGAGAACCAAAUUAUUAUCCUCAAUAACCUCUAGAAUAUUUUCGACCACGCGGGCUGUCGGAACCACAGCCCCAACAAGUGUGAUGAGCGUUAAAAUCGCCCGCAAAUAUGAAAGGACUAGGAAUAGACUUAACCAAUGUAUCAAAAUUGUUUUUGCUGAAGACUGGGUUAGAGUUUAAAGGACUAUAGAAACUAACUAUACAUAUAUCUUUAUUAUUAACUGUUAUUUUCACACAUACAUUUUGUAAGGAAUUAUCGAAAUAGGUGUUAAUUCUAGAAUAAAUAAUGCUUUUAUGUAUUAUAAUUGCAACACCAUUGUGUUUGUUACCACAAUCAUUCCUUUCAACAUUGUAAUUUUUAAUUUUUAAAAUUUUGUUCAGGUUUUAACCAAGUUUCACUGAUUAUAGCAAUAUGAAUAUUGUGUGUAUAAAGAAAAUUAAUAAAUAUAUGUUUGUUACUAUUCAGACUUUGGGCAUUCCAUUGUAUUAUAUUUAAAGUUGAUAAAUCCAUUAUGAAGAUGAAGGGAAUUUAUUACUUAGCGUUGCUUUUAAAACUUCUUUAAUGGAAGUAGAAUUAAUAGGGGCAUCUUUAUUACUUAUUAUUUUAAUAAUUGUUUCAACUAAUGUGCUUAUAAAUGUAUCCGAUUUCAUUAAAUUAUUAAUUUGCGUAUCUAAAGUACGAGCAGAAAGAGCUGGAAAUGCAUUGGAGUCAAAAAGUUCUGAAUAUGUGGCAUUUCUAGAUUUUAUUUUAUUUUCUUCAA
RNAcentral lists this long non-coding RNA (1255 nucleotides) under Manduca sexta (tobacco hornworm). RNAcentral's name for it is "uncharacterized LOC119191651, transcript variant X3". Lineage: Eukaryota; Metazoa; Arthropoda; Insecta; Lepidoptera; Sphingidae. The record is from RNAcentral.